CCUACGGGCGGCAGCAGUGAGGAAUAUUGGUCAAUGGGCGAGAGCCUGAACCAGCCAAGUCGCGUGAGGGAGUACUGCCCUAUGGGUUGUAAACCUCUUUUGUCGGGGAGCAAAAGCCGGACGUGUCCGGCUGUGAGAGUACCCGAAGAAAAAGCAUCGGCUAACUCCGUGCCAGCAGCCGCGGUAAUACGGAGGAUGCGAGCGUUAUCCGGAUUUAUUGGGUUUAAAGGGUGCGCAGGCGGAUUGUUAAGUCAGCGGUAAAAUCGUGGGGCUCAACCCCAUCCAGCCGUUGAAACUGGGGAUCUAGAGUGUGCGAGAGGUAUGCGGAAUGCGUGGUGUAGCGGUGAAAUGCAUAGAUAUCACGCAGAACCCCGAUUGCGAAGGCAGCAUACCGGUGCACAACUGACGCUCAGGCACGAAAGCGUGGGUAUCGAACAGGAUUAGAUACCCUGGUAGUC
RNAcentral lists this ribosomal RNA (458 nucleotides) under uncultured bacterium. Its description in RNAcentral is "partial 16S ribosomal RNA". It matches the Rfam family "Bacterial small subunit ribosomal RNA", at positions 338 to 795 of the family's 1533-position model. The record is from RNAcentral.